Molecule: ribosomal RNA, 500 nt
Filed under: uncultured bacterium
Lineage: Bacteria
Description: partial 16S ribosomal RNA
Rfam family: Bacterial small subunit ribosomal RNA
Source: RNAcentral
AUUGAACGCUGGCGGCAUGCUUUACACAUGCAAGUCGAACGGUAACAGGGUGCUUGCACCGCUGACGAGUGGCGAACGGGUGAGUAAUGCGUCGGAACGUGCCGAGUAGUGGGGGAUAACGCAGCGAAAGUUGUGCUAAUACCGCAUACGUACUGAGGUAGAAAGUGGGGGACCUUCGGGCCUCACGCUAUUCGAGCGGCCGACGUCUGAUUAGCUAGUAGGUGAGGUAAAGGCUCACCUAGGCGACGAUCAGUAGCGGGUCUGAGAGGAUGAUCCGCCACACUGGGACUGAGACACGGCCCAGACUCCUACGGGAGGCAGCAGUGGGGAAUUUUGGACAAUGGGCGAAAGCCUGAUCCAGCCAUGCCGCGUGUCUGAAGAAGGCCUUCGGGUUGUAAAGGACUUUUGUCAGGGAGGAAAUCCCUAGUGCUAAUAACACUGGGGGAUGACAGUACCUGAAGAAUAAGCACCGGCUAACUACGUGCCAGCAGCAGCCGCGG